This 606-nucleotide non-coding RNA is filed under the name Mesocestoides corti. Its description in RNAcentral is "Eukaryotic small subunit ribosomal RNA". It matches the Rfam family "Eukaryotic small subunit ribosomal RNA", at positions 1358 to 1831 of the family's 1831-position model. The record is from Rfam by way of RNAcentral. Lineage: Eukaryota; Metazoa; Platyhelminthes; Cestoda; Cyclophyllidea; Mesocestoididae.
GUCUGCAGUCUUGUGGUUGUGGGCAUAUUGGGGGUGGUGGUCUUGACGAUGGUGGUUUGAGCGCUGGUCUUGGCGCUGGCGUUGGUGGCGGUUGCGUGGUCAGGGUGGUUUGGGCUGUGGCUGGUCCGGCGUUAGCUUCCGGGUACGGCGCGAAUGCCUACUUCUUAGAGGGACAAGCGGGAGAAGCCGCACGAAAUAGAGCAAUAACAGGUCUGUGAUGCCCUUAGAUGUCCGGGGCCGCACGCGCGCUACAAUGACGGUGGCAACGAGUCAGACCUUCUGGCCCGAAAGGGUUGGACAAACUGGUCAAUCACCGUCAUGACAGGGAUCGGGGCUUGGAAUUGUUCCCCGUGAACGAGGAAUUCCUAGUAAGUGCAAGUCAUAAGCUUGCGCUGAUUACGUCCCUGCCCUUUGUACACACCGCCCGUCGCUACUACCGAUUGAAUGGUUUAGUAAGGUCCUUGGAUUGGUGCCAUUGUGGUGGUCGUCGCCGCCGAAAGGUGGCGGCCCACCGACAGGUGCCGAGAAGACGACCGAACUUGAUCAUUUAGAGGAAGUAAAAGUCGUAACAAGGUUUCCGUAGGUGAACCUGCGGAAGGAUCAUUA